RNAcentral lists this long non-coding RNA (307 nucleotides) under Chlamydomonas reinhardtii. Its description in RNAcentral is "long non-coding RNA (CREI_LNC001315)". The record is from RNAcentral. Lineage: Eukaryota; Viridiplantae; Chlorophyta; Chlorophyceae; Chlamydomonadales; Chlamydomonadaceae.
GGGUGUGGUGUUCAACGUGUCUGUGCGACCUUGCAUUCGUGGCGAGGUGGUGGGCAGGUCGGGAGACGAGUGGUGAGUGGCGCCAAUGAGCGCGCGCGAGUGCGCCCAGGGAUACUUGGUUUGAAAGCCUGAACGAGGAGGCACGAGUUUUGAUACAGAAAGGGCACGGUCUAGCAGUGUCGUGUGUGUACAUGUGCAGGUUAGACUCACCGUUGGCGCACGCAUCUGGUCCGAUUCCGUCACCCAUUUCUGCUCCUCUUGUCCUGCUCCCGCCGCGCAGCUUCCCGUGCGACAGCGGCCUGUUCAG